This 258-nucleotide ribosomal RNA is filed under the name uncultured prokaryote. Its description in RNAcentral is "partial 16S ribosomal RNA". It matches the Rfam family "Bacterial small subunit ribosomal RNA", at positions 524 to 782 of the family's 1533-position model. The record is from RNAcentral.
UACGUAGGUGGCAAGCGUUAUCCGGAUUUACUGGGCGUAAAGGGCGCGCAGGCUGUAGAUCAAGUCAGCUGUGAAAUGUCUGGGCUUAACCCGGGCAUGCGGUUGAAACUGAUGUACUGGAGUGCUGUAGAGGCAAGUGGAAUUCCCAGUGUAGCGGUGAAAUGCGUAGAUAUUGGGAAGAACACCGGUGGCGAAGGCGACUUGCUGGGCAGCAACUGACGCUGAGGCGCGAAAGCCAGGGGAGCAAACGGGAUUAGA